CAGUGGAUUGGUAACUGAAAAGCCAAGGGCGGUAGCGUG
Molecule: non-coding RNA, 39 nt
Filed under: Enterobacter asburiae
Lineage: Bacteria; Pseudomonadati; Pseudomonadota; Gammaproteobacteria; Enterobacterales; Enterobacteriaceae
Description: JUMPstart RNA
Rfam family: JUMPstart RNA
Source: RNAcentral